GAUGAACGCUAGCGGCAGGCCUAAUACAUGCAAGUCGAACGGCAGCGGGCCUUCGGGUGCCGGCGAGUGGCGAACGGGUGAGUAAUGCAUCGGAACGUGCCAUUGAGUGGGGGAUAACGUAGCGAAAGUUACGCUAAUACCGCAUAUUCUGUGAGCAGGAAAGCAGGGGACCGCAAGGCCUUGCGCUCUUUGAGCGGCCGAUGUCAGAUUAGCUAGUUGGUGAGGUAAAGGCUUACCAAGGCGACGAUCUGUAGCGGGUCUGAGAGGAUGAUCCGCCACACUGGAACUGAGACACGGUCCAGACUCCUACGGGAGGCAGCAGUGGGGAAUUUUGGACAAUGGGCGCAAGCCUGAUCCAGCCAUGCCGCGUGAGUGAAGAAGGCCUCGGUGUAAG
Molecule: ribosomal RNA, 394 nt
Filed under: uncultured bacterium
Lineage: Bacteria
Description: bacterial SSU rRNA
Rfam family: Bacterial small subunit ribosomal RNA
Source: RNAcentral